This 371-nucleotide ribosomal RNA is filed under the name uncultured organism. RNAcentral describes it as "bacterial SSU rRNA". It matches the Rfam family "Bacterial small subunit ribosomal RNA", at positions 526 to 897 of the family's 1533-position model. The record is from RNAcentral.
CGAACCGAGCGAACGUUGUUCGGAAUCACUGGGCUUAAAGGGCGCGUAGGCGGGCUGCCGCGUCCGGGGUGAAAUCCCACGGCUCAACCGUGGAACGGCCCGGGUACGGGCGGCCUCGAGGAAGUAGGGGCGUGCGGAACUGUGGGUGGAGCGGUGAAAUGCGUUGAUAUCCACAGGAACUCCGGUGGCGAAGGCGGCGCGCUGGACCUUUUCUGACGCUGAGGCGCGAAAGCCAGGGGAGCGAACGGGAUUAGAUACCCCGGUAGUCCUGGCCCUAAACGAUGAGAACUGGGUAGUAGCCCGGGCAUGGGGUUACUGCCGCAGCCAAAGUGCUAAGUUCUCCGCCUGGGGAGUAGUGGUCGCAAGGCUAG